Molecule: long non-coding RNA, 1139 nt
Filed under: Anas platyrhynchos platyrhynchos (common mallard)
Lineage: Eukaryota; Metazoa; Chordata; Aves; Anseriformes; Anatidae
Description: lncRNA (ENSAPLG00000026971.1)
Source: RNAcentral
CCUUCAUCUCUGCAAGUGUCAAAACAUUAAUUUGUGUCAAGAACAUAUGCUUUCAGUACUUAAAACAAGCUUGUUUUUGUGCUGUUGCUCUGCCUUGUUAGUUCUUACACUUCAAUUGUCUAGAAAGGUUGCCCCUCUCUACUAUAAAAAAAAAUAAAAAAAGCCAGGAAUAAUUUCACCACUGAUUGAAUGAAUGCAAUGAACAGUCAUUCCUCGCUGAGAAAGGCUGAGCCUCCUGCCAUUGUUCUCUUGACAAAUAGUGAAUGUCCUCCCUUUCCACUGUCUGACCUUGACUAAUUGUGGAGAAUUGGUGCAGCUGUCCCUGGCUCAUUCAGGGCUGCAACACAAGGGCAUGUAAGAAACUUUAAGCUGCCAUCAUAAAACUCCAGUUUGAGGACUUCAUCACAAUGCAUGGUGCUCACUUUUUUGUUGCUGCUGUUUAGCUUGUUGCUAUUUACUUCCUCUGAUAGUGUAUUUUAUAGUCACGCUGUUUUCUUCUCAUUUGCUUUUGUAUGCAUCUGGAAUACGUAGAUUGUAGUGAGAGUAUUUCUAAAAGAGAUAGGUAAAGUCACAUGGAGAAAUACUUAUAAAACCAUCAAUUAAAAAGGUCAAUGGUUCAUAUAAAAGUGCAAUAAAGUCAGUUCCCAAGUCAGCCAAGAUCACUGGUCCACUUCUGAACCUUCAGCUAACCCAGCCCAGAAUCAGUGAAAACAAUCAUGAACAACACAGAGAGCAUUUAGCUUCUGUCCUGGUAAUGAAGAGCAUGAACAAGUGGAGAAUUUUGCAAAAUGAAUAUGUCUGUAAGAAACGUGCAUCCUUAUUUACAAACCUAAUCAGUUAGAACGAAGGUUCUGUGUGUUAUUUCGGAAGAUUAUUCCUAAUCACUUCCUUCAGUGCCACGUUCAAGAAGAAAUCCAACCAUUCAGUGUAAAUUUAUAGUUUAGUGAUUUUAGGUAACCACGUGGUCUUUUGUCUUCCUUUAGAAAGUUUCCUGUACUAUGGUUUGUACUGCAGGGCCUUGGUUUUAGAAGACAGUUUUUGUGAUUUGAAUCUCAAGAUGCUGCAAAGGUAUGAGUUCUGAUUUUCUGCUUUGAAGCCUCAGACUGUUAGAGAACCAUCCUUUUCAGCAGAUAGUGCUA